This 465-nucleotide ribosomal RNA is filed under the name Vreelandella stevensii. RNAcentral describes it as "partial 16S ribosomal RNA". It matches the Rfam family "Bacterial small subunit ribosomal RNA", at positions 338 to 795 of the family's 1533-position model. The record is from RNAcentral. Lineage: Bacteria; Pseudomonadati; Pseudomonadota; Gammaproteobacteria; Oceanospirillales; Halomonadaceae.
CCUACGGGGGGCUGCAGUGGGGAAUAUUGGACAAUGGGCGAAAGCCUGAUCCAGCCAUGCCGCGUGUGUGAAGAAGGCCUUCGGGUUGUAAAGCACUUUCAGUGGGGAAGAAAGCCUUGGGGCUAAUACCCUCGAGGAAGGACAUCACCCACAGAAGAAGCACCGGCUAACUCCGUGCCAGCAGCCGCGGUAAUACGGAGGGUGCGAGCGUUAAUCGGAAUUACUGGGCGUAAAGCGCGCGUAGGCGGUCUGAUAAGCCGGUUGUGAAAGCCCCGGGCUCAACCUGGGAACGGCAUCCGGAACUGUCAGGCUAGAGUGCAGGAGAGGAAGGUAGAAUUCCCGGUGUAGCGGUGAAAUGCGUAGAGAUCGGGAGGAAUACCAGUGGCGAAGGCGGCCUUCUGGACUGACACUGACGCUGAGGUGCGAAAGCGUGGGUAGCAAACAGGAUUAGAUCCCCGGGUAGUC